UGGGCCGCUAUAAAUUUUGUGACGUCCUGUAUAAUCCCGUCUCGUCCGAACAGCUGAUUGCUCGUUCCAGCGUAUUGAUAACGAAAAGUGAAAAGUAAAUCACGGGAUGACAAAACGCAAAGGAAAACUUUUAAUAGAAGUGAGAAGGGGCGUCUAGACGAUACACAACGUUAAUAUUUGAAAGAGAGGAAGCUAGUGCCAUCAAAACCACGUGGCUACGGUAAAAAUAUCGUAAGCGAUUUUCGUCAAAGAAGUACCUAGAUAGACUAGAACUAUUUUUAAAGUGGAUUACAAAAUUUGCGGAGAACGUGACAACAACCAGGCCCGCCGGCAAGGAGGGUCAGGGAGGGUCCGCCGACCCCCCCCCCCCCCACCCUGGAUAAUUACAGCUUAAGAUAAAACAAGGUUAUUGAUACAUUUGGUCAAGAUCGAAGGAGAUUAAAGUUUUUAUUUACCAAUUAAUCUUGUUUUGUAUUAUAAUAUUAUAAUUAUUAUAAUAUAACGUUUU
RNAcentral lists this long non-coding RNA (508 nucleotides) under Diabrotica virgifera virgifera (western corn rootworm). Its description in RNAcentral is "uncharacterized LOC126892607". Lineage: Eukaryota; Metazoa; Arthropoda; Insecta; Coleoptera; Chrysomelidae. The record is from RNAcentral.